Marchantia polymorpha subsp. ruderalis is the source of this 168-nucleotide non-coding RNA. The record is from the annotation of a GenBank genome assembly. NCBI's taxonomy places the organism in Eukaryota, Viridiplantae, Streptophyta, Marchantiopsida, Marchantiales, Marchantiaceae.
UGAGCGAGAACUUCAGUUGAUCUGGAAUCGUGGAAAGAACAGAGGACUAUCAACUUUGGCUUAUCGCACAUCUUAUUGGGAAUAGUAUCUAUGUGUUCCUUUGCGAUGAGAGCCAAAUUAAGGACUUAUAUUCUUUCCAGAUUCCAAGUUAACUGAGGUUUUCGCACA